AUGGGGACAGGCUGCCUCGGGCCCGGACACGAGGACACCACGGCACGGCGCGUCCCGGUGUGCCCCCUCCAAGCGUCCCCGCACCGCAGCCAUCGCCCCCUCCCCGCGUGGUGCCCGCGUGCCGGCGAUUACCGCAGGAAGAGCUGUAACGCUACAGCGAGCCUCGGCGCUCAGCCCCGCUACAAAUCAGGGUCAGGCAGCAGCGCUGUUCGACAGAGCCCGCCACGACGUGCUCCUGCUCCUAAUGCCUUCCCCGGCGCGCGGCGGGGACGCGGAGCAGAGCGAGACGGGGCCGAGCGCGGCCCCCGGGGGUGUUUUCUCUUCCGUUUGCUCCGGUUUUACCUUUCUACAGCUGCGAAUGCGGUUACAACACGUUUGCUGAGCCUAUUUUUAGAGCGGCACGUCGUUUUUUUCUCCGUCGUGAGACAGGAAAUGCUGAUGGGGCCGACGGCCGCGGGGCCACUCGCUCCUCCCCGGAUGGUGCCUUUGAGCAGCACCGUGCUCGCGCUCUGCACCCCCAGAGCACCCAACACAGGGAGAAGCUCCCAGCCCCCACAGCUCUUUGCUCUCCCCAUAGAACCAGCAGGUUGCUGCAAGCCCGCUCCGUGCCUCAGUUUCCCCACUGCAACCCUCAGAGUAGAGACAACGACCCAUGAGCACGGACACGGCAAUGAGGCAGCACCUAGGCCCGGGGCUGCGCGCUGCUUUCCCCGCGCGUUUCCCCAUUGCCACCAUCCCACACACCCACACAUCCAAAGAAACAACCCGGAGCUGCUGAGCACCGGCCCCUGCGCCGCGUGCCACCGCCCGUGCCUGGCUCCGAGCGCGGUGUCGGCAGCCAGCGAGCGCGGCCGCGCGGGUACCCGCUGUUUGAAUGUCAACACCUCAUUUAUACAUCUUGAUUGGCUCUCAUCAGCCAGUCAGAACGGCGGCUGCGGUGCUGGCAAGGGUAGCAGCUCCGCUCCGACACCGUCAGCGAGGGGACAGGAGAGGGAGGGGAGAGAAAAAAAGCCAGAGCAGCAGCCAGACAGCUGCCUCUUCCUCCUCCUCCUUUUGUGCAGAAAUGUGUUUUUGUUUGUCAGUCAAACAGAUUGUUUUCUCCUUCUUUGCAGGCCAAUUGUUUCUGCUCCUGCAAGAUAAGGGAUUGAAAAGGGCUAUAUUUUUAUGGCACCGAAUCCAGGCCCUCCGAAUUGGAGGGGAGACAUCAAGUGGGAGGAGAUUCCUGUUCAAACCAGCGCUCCUCUCCCCCCUUCCACUCUCCAAUCCUAUUUCCACCCCCAUUUUCCCUUUCUCUCCUUCCUCCUCCCGCCUGGAGCUGCCUCUCAGCCCUUCGCUAUUUAAUCUCCGCGUCUCUGGUGGGCUUGGGAGCUUGACGCAGCUCCGUCCUCUUUGCACCAUCUGCUGAAAAAAGCCCUUCUGUCCCCAGCGCUCUGUCCAGCCUUCCCCGAGAAAGGGAGAGCGGAGCUGCUGAGUGUCCGGAGGAACAAAAUCCAGGAGAAGGUUUCCUUAUCUGCAUAGGUUUUGCCCCAAAAGCACCUUGGAGCAUGCCCCCAAGCCAUGUCCUUGGAGCAGGUCACCAAGCCAGGUCCCUGGUCCAUCUGGCUGGAGGUGAUGGGGAUGCUGCGUCCCGAGAUGAUGGGAAUGCUGUCCCAAGCACAACCCCCUGCUCCCAUGUCCAACACCAAGGACCAGAGCGUGGUGUUGCCUCCUGUCCUGGAGGGGUGGGAUCCUGGGAGGGGGCAGCACAGCUCAUACCCAGCUCCUAAGCCUCCCAGAGCUCAGGCUUGAGGACCGAGAUCCACUCAAUUAAUUUUGCUUUGGCAAAAAGUCCAUUUUUAUUGCUAUUUCAUGCCUUCAGUAUAGAUUUUCCCUGCUCGUCUCAAAGGGAUAAUAAAACCCGACUCGUUCUUUUUAUAAAAGUCUCA
RNAcentral lists this long non-coding RNA (1925 nucleotides) under Numida meleagris (helmeted guineafowl). RNAcentral's name for it is "lncRNA (ENSNMEG00000009604.1)". Lineage: Eukaryota; Metazoa; Chordata; Aves; Galliformes; Numididae. The record is from RNAcentral.